UUUCUACUCCCUCCGUCUGAAAAUACUUGUCAUCAAAAUGGAUAAAAAGAGAUGUAUCUAAAACUAAAAUACGUCUAGAUACAUUUCCUUUUAUCCAUUUUGAUGAGAAGUAUUUCCGGAUGGAGGGACUAUUUG
Triticum aestivum (bread wheat) is the source of this 135-nucleotide non-coding RNA. NCBI's taxonomy places the organism in Eukaryota, Viridiplantae, Streptophyta, Magnoliopsida, Poales, Poaceae. The record is from Rfam.